This 490-nucleotide ribosomal RNA is filed under the name uncultured bacterium. RNAcentral describes it as "bacterial SSU rRNA". It matches the Rfam family "Bacterial small subunit ribosomal RNA", at positions 28 to 507 of the family's 1533-position model. The record is from RNAcentral.
GAUGAACGCUAGCUACAGGCUUAACACAUGCAAGUCGAGGGGAACGACAUCGAAAGCUUGCUUUGGUGGGCGUCGACCGGCGCACGGGUGAGUAACGCGUAUCCAACCUGCCCACCACUUGGGGAUAACCUUGCGAAAGUAAGACUAAUACCCAAUGAUAUCCCACGAAGGCAUCCGAAUGGGAUUAAAGAUUUAUCGGUGAUGGAUGGGGAUGCGUCUGAUUAGCUUGUUGGCGGGGUAACGGCCCACCAAGGCUACGAUCAGUAGGGGUUCUGAGAGGAAGGUCCCCCACAUUGGAACUGAGACACGGUCCAAACUCCUACGGGAGGCAGCAGUGAGGAAUAUUGGUCAAUGGACGAGAGUCUGAACCAGCCAAGUAGCGUGCAGGACGACGGCCCUAUGGGUUGUAAACUGCUUUUAUAAGGGAAUAAAGUGGGUCACGUGUGACUUUUUGCAUGUACCUUAUGAAUAAGGACCGGCUAAUUCCGUG